UNGCUCAGGUUUUGGAUAGGUUGCAAUGU
Molecule: non-coding RNA, 29 nt
Filed under: Mus musculus (house mouse)
Lineage: Eukaryota; Metazoa; Chordata; Mammalia; Rodentia; Muridae
Source: RNAcentral